Molecule: RNase P RNA, 413 nt
Filed under: Selenomonadales bacterium OttesenSCG-928-I06
Lineage: Bacteria; Bacillati; Bacillota; Negativicutes; Selenomonadales
Description: RNase P RNA component class A
Rfam family: Bacterial RNase P class A (bases 65-413)
About the family: Ribonuclease P (RNase P) is a ubiquitous endoribonuclease, found in archaea, bacteria and eukarya as well as chloroplasts and mitochondria. Its best characterised activity is the generation of mature 5'-ends of tRNAs by cleaving the 5'-leader elements of precursor-tRNAs.
Source: RNAcentral
AUGCGUCGUCGGCACUUCCUUGUCUUUUGAAAUUUUAUCUCAAAUUUAUUUAUCACGUUUUUAAUUGAGGAUUAGUAUUAACUGCAGAUGAGGAAAGUCCGAGCUCCAAAGAGCAGGGUGCUGGAUAACGUCCAGCGAGGGUGACCUUAGGGAUAGUGCCACAGAAAUAAACCGCCAAGUAAUUUAUUACUCGGUAAGGAUGCAACGGUGCGGUAAGAGCGCACCAGCAGUCAGGUGACUGACUGGCUAGGUAAACCCCACCUGGAGCAAGACCAAAUAGAGAAGGAUAAAAAAGUUGCUCGCUUACCUUCUGGGUGUGUCGCUAGAGCCGUCAGGCAACUGUCGGCGUAGAUAAAUGAUCAUCACUAUAGCUUGCUAUAGCACAGAACUCGGCUUACUGACUACUCAUAUGC